RNAcentral lists this unclassified non-coding RNA (26 nucleotides) under Mus musculus (house mouse). Its description in RNAcentral is "oocyte_clustered_small_RNA8178". Lineage: Eukaryota; Metazoa; Chordata; Mammalia; Rodentia; Muridae. The record is from RNAcentral.
AUGGGACAGGCCACUCCUUCUGUUCA